ACGCAUGUGAUGAGUUAACUCGGAUUCCCCUUCAGGAUGUCAUGUAUGAUGUGAGCUCGAGUUUUCUGAUGCG
Molecule: small nucleolar RNA, 73 nt
Organism: Prunus persica (peach)
Lineage: Eukaryota; Viridiplantae; Streptophyta; Magnoliopsida; Rosales; Rosaceae
Rfam family: Small nucleolar RNA snoR60
About the family: snoR60 is a member of the C/D class of snoRNA which contain the C (UGAUGA) and D (CUGA) box motifs.
Source: Rfam